AUUCCCUAGUAACUGCGAGUGAAGCGGGAAAAGCUCAAAUUUGUAAUCCGUCCCCCGACGGAGUUGUAAUCUAGAGAAGUGUUUUCGGCCGUUGUCUCGGAUAAGUCCCCUGAAACAGGGCGUCAUAGAGGGUAACAAUCCCGUCCUUACCGAGGUCGCAAUGUCUAUGUGAUACACUCUCGAAGAGUCGAGUUGUUUGGGAAUGCAGCUCAAAAUGGGUGGUAAAUUCCAUCUAAAGCUAAAUAUUGGCGAGAGACCGAUAGCGAACAAGUACCGUGAGGGAAAGAUGAAAAGCACUUUGGAAAGAGAGUUAAACAGUACGUGAAAUUGCUAAAAGGGAAGCGCUUGAAGUCAGUCGCGUCGUCAGAGACUCAACCUCACGGUGUAUUUCUCUGGUGACGGGCCAACAUCGAUUUUGGGCGUGGGAAAAGGAUACGGGGAAUGUGGCAGCCUCGGCUGUGUUAUAGCCCUGCAUCGUACACCACGCCUGGGAUCGAGGACCGCGGCUCUGCCUAGGAUGUUGGCGUAAUGGCUUUAAGCGACCCGUCUUGAAACACGGACCAAGGAGUCUAACAUGUCUGCGAGUGUUUGGGUGUCAAACCCAUGCGCGCAAUGAAAGUAAACGUAGGUGGGAGGCCUCGGCCGCACCAUCGACCGAUCCGGAUCUUUAGUGAUGGAUUUGAGUAAGAGCAUAUAUGUUGGGACCCGAAAGAUGGUGAACUAUGCCUGAAUAGGGCGAAGCCAGAGGAAACUCUGGUGGAGGCUCGUAGCGAUUCUGACGUGCAAAUCGAUCGUCAAAUUUGGGUAUAGGGGCGAAAGACUAAUCGAACCAUCUAGUAGCUGGUCUUGCGAG
Molecule: ribosomal RNA, 853 nt
Filed under: Calocera viscosa
Lineage: Eukaryota; Fungi; Basidiomycota; Dacrymycetes; Dacrymycetales; Dacrymycetaceae
Description: LSU rRNA
Rfam family: Eukaryotic large subunit ribosomal RNA
Source: RNAcentral